UAGGGAAUCUUCCACAAUGGACGCAAGUCUGAUGGAGCAACGCCGCGUGAGUGAAGAAGGUCUUCGGAUCGUAAAGCUCUGUUGUUGGUGAAGAAGGAUAGAGGCAGUAACUGGUCUUUAUUUGACGGUAAUCAACCAGAAAGUCACGGCUAACUACGUGCCAGCAGCCGCGGUAAUACGUAGGUGGCAAGCGUUGUCCGGAUUUAUUGGGCGUAAAGCGAGCGCAGGCGGAAUGAUAAGUCUGAUGUGAAAGCCCACGGCUCAACCGUGGAACUGCAUCGGAAACUGUCAUUCUUGAGUGCAGAAGAGGAGAGUGGAACUCCAUGUGUAGCGGUGGAAUGCGUAGAUAUAUGGAAGAACACCAAUGGCGAAGGCGGCUCUCUGGUCUGCAACUGACGCUGAGGCUCGAAAGCAUGGGUAGCGAACAGGAUUAGAUACCCUGGUAGUCCAUGCCGUAAACGAUGAGCGCUAGGUGUUGGGGACUUUCCGGUCCUCAGUGCCGCAGCAAACGCAUUAAGCGCUCCGCCUGGGGAGUACGACCGCAAGGUUGAAAC
This 554-nucleotide ribosomal RNA is filed under the name uncultured bacterium. RNAcentral describes it as "partial 16S ribosomal RNA". It matches the Rfam family "Bacterial small subunit ribosomal RNA", at positions 355 to 900 of the family's 1533-position model. The record is from RNAcentral.